UGGCUCAGUUGGUAGAGCAUGGUGUUUGCAACACCAGGGUUGUGGGUUCAAUUCCCAU
Molecule: non-coding RNA, 58 nt
Organism: Salmo salar (Atlantic salmon)
Lineage: Eukaryota; Metazoa; Chordata; Actinopteri; Salmoniformes; Salmonidae
Source: Rfam